This 325-nucleotide ribosomal RNA is filed under the name uncultured eukaryote. RNAcentral describes it as "partial 18S ribosomal RNA". It matches the Rfam family "Eukaryotic small subunit ribosomal RNA", at positions 1470 to 1796 of the family's 1831-position model. The record is from RNAcentral.
CCCUUAGAUGUUCUGGGCUGCACGCGCGCUACACUGGUGCGUUCAGCGAGUUUAGCACCUUAACAGAUAUGUUUGGGUAAUCUUCUGAAAACGCACCGUGAUGGGGAUCGAUUAUUGUAAUUAUUAAUCGUCAACGAGGAAUUCCUAGUAAGUGUGAAUCAUCAGUUCGCGCUGAUUACGUCCCUGCCCUUUGUACACACCGCCCGUCGCUGCUACCGAUUGAGUGGUCCGGUGAAUUAUUCGGACCGGUGGACUGUGGGGAAACCCGCGGCCUGCUGGGAAGUCUUGUGAACCUUAUCAUUUAGAGGAAGGAGAAGUCGUAACA